Molecule: ribosomal RNA, 494 nt
Filed under: uncultured bacterium
Lineage: Bacteria
Description: partial 16S ribosomal RNA
Rfam family: Bacterial small subunit ribosomal RNA
Source: RNAcentral
GACGAACGCUGGCGGCGUGCCUAAUACAUGCAAGUCGAGCGGACUUAAAAAGCUUGCUUUUUAAGUUAGCGGCGGACGGGUGAGUAACACGUGGGCAACCUGCCUGUAAGACUGGGAUAACUUCGGGAAACCGGAGCUAAUACCGGAUAAUCCUUUUCUACUCAUGUAGAAAAGCUGAAAGACGGUUUACGCUGCCACUUACAGAUGGGCCCGCGGCGCAUUAGCUAGUUGGUGAGGUAACGGCUCACCAAGGCGACGAUGCGUAGCCGACCUGAGAGGGUGAUCGGCCACACUGGGACUGAGACACGGCCCAGACUCCUACGGGAGGCAGCAGUAGGGAAUCUUCCGCAAUGGACGAAAGUCUGACGGAGCAACGCCGCGUGAGUGAUGAAGGUUUUCGGAUCGUAAAACUCUGUUGUUAGGGAAGAACAAGUACGAGAGUAACUGCUCGUACCUUGACGGUACCUAACCAGAAAGCCACGGCUAACUACGUG